UACGAAGGGUGCAAACGUUGCUCGGAAUUAUUGGGCGUAAAGAGCUCGUAGGCGGUCUGUCGCGUCGGAUGUGAAAACCCAGGGCUCAACCCUGGGCCUGCAUUCGAUACGGGCAGACUAGAGUUCGGUAGGGGAGACUGGAAUUCCUGGUGUAGCGGUGAAAUGCGCAGAUAUCAGGAGGAACACCGGUGGCGAAGGCGGGUCUCUGGGCCGAAACUGACGCUGAGGAGCGAAAGCGUGGGGAGCAAACAGG
RNAcentral lists this ribosomal RNA (253 nucleotides) under uncultured bacterium. RNAcentral's name for it is "partial 16S ribosomal RNA". It matches the Rfam family "Bacterial small subunit ribosomal RNA", at positions 524 to 776 of the family's 1533-position model. The record is from RNAcentral.